Molecule: ribosomal RNA, 253 nt
Filed under: uncultured bacterium
Lineage: Bacteria
Description: partial 16S ribosomal RNA
Rfam family: Bacterial small subunit ribosomal RNA
Source: RNAcentral
UACAGAGGUCUCAAGCGUUGUUCGGAUUCAUUGGGCGUAAAGGGCUCGUAGGCGGCCAACUAAGUCCGACGUGAAAUCCCCAGGCUUAACCUGGGAACUGCGUCGGAUACUGGAUGGCUUGAAUUCGGGAGAGGGAUGCAGAAUUCCAGGUGUAGCGGUGAAAUGCGUAGAUAUCUGGAGGAAUACCGGUGGCGAAGGCGGCAUCCUGGACCGACAUUGACGCUGAUGAGCGAAAGCUAGGGGAGCAAACGGG